CGCCUGUUUUAUCAAAAACAUAGCCAUUAGAUGAUAUUAUAUGGUUCAACCUGCCCAAUGUUUGUAUUAAUGAAUGGCCGCGGUACUCUGACCGUGCUAAGGUAGCGUAAUCAGUUGACUUUUAAAUGAGGUCAGGAAUGAAUGGGAGAACUGGGUUUAGCUGUCUCUAAAUUAUUAAAUUGAAUUUACUAUCUAAGUGAAAAAGCUUAGGUGUAGAAAAGGGACGAGAAGACCCUUAGAAUUUUUUUUAAAUUAAAUUAUGUUUUUUAUAAUUUUAUUGGGGCGAUAAAGAAAUAUUUUUAACUUUCUUUUAAAUUACAAGCCGAUUAUAUUAAGAAGGAACAAAUUACCUGAGGGAUAACAGCAUAAUUCUACAAAUGAGUUUGUGACCUCGAUGUUGGACUAGGGAACUAACAGGCUAGCCGUUUGUUAUGUUAGGUUCUGUUCGAACUUUUAUUCCU
RNAcentral lists this ribosomal RNA (461 nucleotides) under Aeolidiella alderi. RNAcentral's name for it is "partial 16S ribosomal RNA". It matches the Rfam family "Archaeal large subunit ribosomal RNA", at positions 1889 to 2665 of the family's 2987-position model. The record is from RNAcentral. Lineage: Eukaryota; Metazoa; Mollusca; Gastropoda; Nudibranchia; Aeolidiidae.